UACGUAGGGGCAAGCGUUAUCCGGAUUUACUGGGCGUAAAGGGAGCGUAGGCGGACUUUUAAGUGGGAUGUGAAAUACCCGGGCUUAACCUGGGAGCUGCAUUCCAAACUGGGAGUCUAGAGUGCAGGAGGGGAAAGUGGAAUUCCUAGUGUAGCGGUGAAAUGCGUAGAGAUUAGGAAGAACACCGGUGGCGAAGGCGACUUUCUGGACUGUAACUGACGCUGAGGCUCGAAAGCGUGGGGAGCGAACAGGAUUAGAUACCCUGGUAGUCCCUGAGCGGGCU
This 283-nucleotide ribosomal RNA is filed under the name uncultured prokaryote. RNAcentral describes it as "partial 16S ribosomal RNA". It matches the Rfam family "Bacterial small subunit ribosomal RNA", at positions 524 to 817 of the family's 1533-position model. The record is from RNAcentral.